Vicia villosa (hairy vetch) is the source of this 3494-nucleotide long non-coding RNA. RefSeq lists it as uncharacterized. The transcript is spliced from 4 exons. The record is from RefSeq and is a predicted model, not a curated record. Lineage: Eukaryota; Viridiplantae; Streptophyta; Magnoliopsida; Fabales; Fabaceae.
AUUUUAAUAGGUCUCAAUUUAUUAGAAAUAAAAUAAUUUAAACAUAUUAAUGACAUAGUAAUAAAUAGUAACAAAUUUGUUAAAGUGAAUAAAAUAAUCCAGAUUCGUCACAUUUCACGCAGAUUCAUCGCACAAUGUUCUAAACCCAGAUUCAUCGCAUUUCACCGGAACCCUUUUCACCAACGCUUCUCAUCGAAACUCUUCGCUUAUUUCACAGCUCACCAUCACAGUUCACCACCGACAACAAAGCUGAAGAAAUUUGAGAGGAACCCAUCGUUCAUUUCACAGUGACGACAACGAAGCUGAAGCCGUUUGAUCAAAUUCCCCAACCAAAUACCCCAAAACGAACUUCAUGGCGACGCCGUCGUUUUGUUCUGGAAUGGAAACUGAAGUGUGCUGACGGCGAUGCCGAAUUGCUUCACGUUUCCGACAAUCAUCGAGUCGUGUGCGGAGUCGAAAGGAUUUGCAGAAGGUGAAGAAGUUCAUUAUUGUGCUGCAAAGUGCUGUUUUAAGUAAAAUUCAUUUGUGGAUACUUUGUUGAUUGACAUGUACUCGGUAAAGGGUUGUAUUGAAGAUGCUUAUAAAGUGUUUAGUGAAAUGCGUGAGAGUAAUGUUGUUGUGUGGACUGUUGUUAUAAGCGCUUAUAUAUCUUGUGGUGAUGUGGCUUCUGGGAGAUUGUUGCGUUGUGGGAUGUCGCUAUUCUUCGGGUGAUGAUGAUGAUAGAGAUGAAGGAUUGGCAUCGUGGUUUGGUGGAUGAAGGAUGUUGAUGGUGAUGAUGUCGUUGCCGUAUAGAGAAGAUGAGAGUUCUGCAGAUUGAAGGUUGAAGUGGUGGAGAUGGUGAAUGGUGAAUUGAAGGUUGGAGUUUGAAGAUUGUUUCGUGAAUUGGUGAAUGAAGACCCUCAAGGAUUGAAAGAAAUUUUCUGAGUAUUUGUGAUGAACAAAGAGUUGAUUUUUCUUCAAGGUACCCUCAAGGGUGAGCCAAAAAUGAUUUCCCUUUGUGAAUGAAGACCCUCAAGGUAUGCUUUAUUUCCUUUAUGAGUUAUAUGUUAAUGACUAAAUUUUGGUGGACCGGUAAGAACCCCGACAUCGAUUCCAGCUUGCUGUAGGGGCUCAAUGGCUUCUGGUACAUCCUCUAGCAGCUUGUCCUCAAUUCUAGUUGCUCCAAAUAAAUUCAAAUUGCCUUCUAUAAGAGCUGCAGAUUGGUUUUGAAGUUAUUGCUCUUUUUUUGUGGUGAUUCUUUCUACUGGACCUCUAUUGGUUAAUUUGAGUUUUUCUAUAAGCAUAAACAUCUUUGAUACUGUUUAUGAUAGUUUAUAGAAACAACUUAUAACAUGUCCAUAAGCUGUUUUUAACAAAUAUCCAGAAGCUCUCCAACAUAGCUUAUUUGAUAAGCACAUAUGCUAUAAGGGCUUAAGUAAGUUGUUGAUCCAAAAAUAUAACUAAUAAGCAUUCUAUAAUAAAAUCACCUAAAGCUAAAAUUACAAUUUUCACUUUCAGAUGCAAUUUUCCUUUUUUCUCUAUCAGUUCUCAGUAAUGAUUAUGGCAUGUUGAAAACAAGCACAUAAGAUUGUGUGAUUUUCUGUGUUUGACAUUAAAACAUGCUAUAGCAAGAGGACUUAAAGAUCCUUCUUUUCGAGUGAUUUAAAGCCACUUUGCAAUUUCAGCUAAUCUAGGAGAGGUAGCAGCAAAGGUGAUGUAUACUCUCAUGCCAUUCACUUAAGAUCAUUUGUUUCCGCAUUAUUUUCAUGGUGUCGUUCUGUUAUGUUACAGUGUUGAUUUAGUGGAACUUCGACUAUAAACACAAUGGUUGGCGCUAUUUCAGUAACCCACCCAGCAACCACCAUUUUAACAUCUCGGACAUAUAGUCGAAAACCUGGUAACAAACCACGAACAAUAUCAAUGUCUCUCAGAAACGGAAAUAGCCAUAAACAGCAGUUAGAACGUGAAAGGCUCUAUCUCGGGUUAGACUUCGACUUAUGUAGCUUUUACAUUAAUCUUUGGGAUCACUUUUCCUUUCUUUGGAGAUCUUCUUGGAUUCUUUGGUGGAUUUGGUUUUGCUCCAACUGCAUAUUUUGUAAGGCUUUUUGUUUUCACAUUUUCUUCAUGCUCAUAUCAAAUUGCCAAAUUUAUUUCUCAAAACUAAAAAAUAAUGCAAUUCUUGGCUUGUAAUUGUUUCGGCUUCCUAGCAUAAUGUGGCUAAUAAUUAAGAAGCCAAAGAGAUUCAGCACCAACUGGUUCAUCAAUUGGGUAUUAUCAAUUCACAUUAUCAUCUUUUCUUUAAAAUCUAAUAAUCCAAAAUCAGAAUACAAUUUAUGUGUAUUUCAUUUCAGGGUUCAAUUUACAUAGGAGUGUGUAUUAUGGUGGCAUCCACAGUUGGUGGCUUAAGGAACAUUAUUGCUGAUUCAUCCACUUAUAGUUUCUAUACCUAAACUACACGAUGUUGCAAUUAUCUCAAACUUUACCCAAUGUCUUUACUUUUUUUAGUAGUAUGAUGAAUCAUAGUUAUUGUAUGAUUAAUUAUAAAAAAUAAUAGCUCACAUAAAGUAGCACAAUGUUGAAUUGCAUGGUGUAUACUAUUAAAUUUUAAUUGCAAUUUUAGUCCUUCCUACUAUUUCACUUUGUAAGAAUAGUCUCUAUUUUUUGUUUUAUAAUGAAACUCAACUGUAAAUACGAAGGUUUAAACUCUAGUGAUGACGUUCAAUCUAACAAUAUUAACUUUUGUGUUUGUUGAGUUAGGAUUUGUCAACAAAACAGUCCCAGAUUGGCUUAUGUGGCUUCUUCAUGAAAAGCUUGGAGUUUCAGAUUACAAUAAUGCGCAAGCUCUAACUUAAUAUCUGUUUUUGAAUUGGACAAUUUAUCCAUUUUUAUGUUUUGCAGGUUGGUUAUGUUCCUGAAGCUGACUCAUAUCCAUCAUGGCUAAUCUCUCAACCUUACUCUCAUCUUUUACCUUCAGUUGUUGCACCAGGAACUCCAAUUGCUUGUUUAAAGGAGGAACUUAGAAAUAAAUUUGUUGCAAAACCUCUAGUUGUGGAUGGCACUGCAAAGUCACAUGAACUAUAUCUUGCUUAUGACGAGUUCUCUCUUUCAGAGCUUGAACCUCCUCUGGUUCUACAAGAGUUUGUGAAUCAUGGUGUGUAAUCUGAUUCAUAGUCCACUAUCAGUCUGUAUGUUAGAAAGGAUAACUCAGCAUUAAAAAUAAAUGACGUGAGUAUUAUUCAAAAGACUAACGUAGAGAAAGCGGAAUCUCAUACAAAUUACAAUUGUUAAUUUCUUUUAUGUGUAUGAUUUUAUAGUACUUGAAAUAUUAUGACUGCACAUGAUUUUGUAUACCUUUUGGUUAAUAUUAAAAAUAUUUUGACUUAGUGAAAAUAUGAUUUUUAUGUGUAUGAUUUUAUAGUAUUUGCAAUAUUAUGACUGAAAAUGAAAUAUAACUAAAUGGUGUAUAUGAAAUAGGGUGUAAAUAGAUAUAAUUGUUCAUUCAUAAAUGGCGUAUU